This is a non-coding RNA of Caenorhabditis elegans, 21 nucleotides long. NCBI's taxonomy places the organism in Eukaryota, Metazoa, Nematoda, Chromadorea, Rhabditida, Rhabditidae. The record is from Ensembl.
UUUUUUUCCGAUCCAAAUGCG